Molecule: ribosomal RNA, 870 nt
Filed under: Enterobacter hormaechei
Lineage: Bacteria; Pseudomonadati; Pseudomonadota; Gammaproteobacteria; Enterobacterales; Enterobacteriaceae
Description: bacterial SSU rRNA
Rfam family: Bacterial small subunit ribosomal RNA
Source: RNAcentral
AUGCAAGUCGAACGGUAACAGGAAGCAGCUUGCUGCUUUGCUGAUGACUGGCGGACGGGUGAGUAAUGUCUGGGAAACUGCCUGAUGGAGGGGGAUAACUACUGGAAACGGUAGCUAAUACCGCAUAACGUCUCACGACCAAAGAGGGGGACCUUCGGGCCUCUUGCCAUCGGAUGUGCCCAGAUGGGAUUAGCUAGUAGGUGGGGUAACGGCUCACCUAGGCGACGAUCCCUAGCUGGUCUGAGAGGAUGACCAGCCACACUGGAACUGAAACACGGUCCAGACUCCUACGGGAGGCAGCAGUGGGGAAUAUUGCACAAUGGGCGCAAGCCUGAUGCACCCAUGCCGCGUGUAUGAAGAAGGCCUUCGGGUUGUAAAGUACUUUCAGCGGGGAGGAAGGAGUUAAGGUUAAUAACCUUAGCGAUUGACGUUACCCGCAGAAAAAGCACCGGCUAACUCCGUGCCAUCAGCCGCGGUAAUACGGAGGGUGCAAGCGUUAAUCGGAAUUACUGGGCGUAAAGCGCACGCAGGCGGUCUGUCAAGUCGGAUGUGAAAUCCCCGGGCUCAACCUGGGAACUGCAUUCUAAACUGGCAGGCUAAAUUCUUGUAGAGAGGGGUAGAAUUCCAGGUGUAGCGGUGAAAUGCGUACAGAUCUGGAGGAAUACCGGUGGCGAAGGCGGCCCCCUGGACAAAGACUGACGCUCAGGUGCGAAAGCGUGGGGAGCAAACAGAUUAGAUACCCUGGUAGUCCACGCCGUAAACGAUGUCGACUUGCAGGUUGUGCCCUUGAGGCGUGGCUUCCGGAGCUAACGCGUUAAGUCGACCGCUUGGGGAGUACGGCCGCAAGGUUAAAACUCAAAUGAAUUGACG